GGCUUUAUAGCGACGAAUUUAAAACGAAACUACAAAGUUUUGAGUUGAAGUACGAAACAAUAAAUUUGGGGACUUGGCCACUUUUGCAAUGGCAUUGGUUUCAGAACUUUUAGCCAAGUCAAUCUCGUAAAAAACAAAUUGCGAAAUAAAAUAAACAUUGAAAUGUUUAACUCAAUUUUAUGCGUCAGAUACGGUUUAUGUCGGUCAAACCAAUGCUGUCCCAAUUAUGAAAUGCUGAAAAAGUAUUUAGAUAUGAUUGGCACUAUGGGAUCGUAUGACAGGGAAAUUGAUUGUGAUGACUUAGAUCAAAUACUAAACAUUUUGUAAAAAUAA
Drosophila willistoni is the source of this 333-nucleotide long non-coding RNA. RefSeq lists it as uncharacterized. Lineage: Eukaryota; Metazoa; Arthropoda; Insecta; Diptera; Drosophilidae. The transcript is spliced from 2 exons. The record is from RefSeq and is a predicted model, not a curated record.